Molecule: non-coding RNA, 41 nt
Filed under: Otolemur garnettii (small-eared galago)
Lineage: Eukaryota; Metazoa; Chordata; Mammalia; Primates; Galagidae
Source: RNAcentral
CAGGCAGCUUGUAGGUCCCCAGGAAGACUGAGAGCCCUGCU